RNAcentral lists this ribosomal RNA (107 nucleotides) under Loxodonta africana (African savanna elephant). The record is from RNAcentral. Lineage: Eukaryota; Metazoa; Chordata; Mammalia; Proboscidea; Elephantidae.
GUUUGAAUUAAGAUGUGCUGUAAGUAUAAAUCUCGGAAGCUAAGCAGGGUUGGGCCUGGUUAAUACUUGGAUUGGGGACUGCCUGGGAAUACCGGGUGCUGUAGGCC